UAACCUGCGGAGGGAUCAUUACACAAAUAUGAAGGCGGGCUGGAACCUCUCGGGGUUACAGCCUUGCUGAAUUAUUCACCCUUGUCUUUUGCGUACUUCUUGUUUCCUUGGUGGGUUCGCCCACCACUAGGACAAACAUAAACCUUUUGUAAUUGCAAUCAGCGUCAGUAACAAAUUAAUAAUUACAACUUUCAACAACGGAUCUCUUGGUUCUGGCAUCGAUGAAGAACGCAGCGAAAUGCGAUAAGUAGUGUGAAUUGCAGAAUUCAGUGAAUCAUCGAAUCUUUGAACGCACAUUGCGCCCUUUGGUAUUCCAAAGGGCAUGCCUGUUCGAGCGUCAUUUGUACCCUCAAGCUUUGCUUGGUGUUGGGCGUCUUGUCUCUAGCUUUGCUGGAGACUCGCCUUAAAGUAAUUGGCAGCCGGCCUACUGGUUUCGGAGCGCAGCACAAGUCGCACUCUCUAUCAGCAAAGGUCUAGCAUCCAUUAAGCCUUUUUUUCAACUUUGACCUCGGAUCAGGUAGGACCCCGCCCCC
Molecule: ribosomal RNA, 533 nt
Filed under: fungal sp.
Lineage: Eukaryota; Fungi
Description: eukaryotic LSU rRNA
Rfam family: 5.8S ribosomal RNA (bases 187-340)
Source: RNAcentral